GGAGAGGUGUCCGAGUGGCUUAAGGAGCACGAUUGGAAAUCGUGUGUGGACUUAUACUCCACCGGGGGUUCGAAUCCCCCCCUCUCCGCCA
Molecule: transfer RNA, 91 nt
Filed under: Deltaproteobacteria bacterium
Lineage: Bacteria; Pseudomonadati; Myxococcota; Myxococcia
Description: tRNA-Ser
Rfam family: tRNA
About the family: Transfer RNA (tRNA) molecules are approximately 80 nucleotides in length. Their secondary structure includes four short double-helical elements and three loops (D, anti-codon, and T loops).
Source: RNAcentral